GCACCCGGUGAGCGGGCGGGGGUGCCCGGGCGGGGCGCAGGCGGCUCCCGGGGGCGCUGCGCGUCGGCCCUGCCUGCCUCCAGGAUCCGGGGCCUGGCAGCCCCCAGAGGCGGGCGCCCGGACUCCGACCUGGAAGCCCGUGGCGCAGACGGGUUGCUUGCGCCCAAGUGAUGGGAGGAUGGCGAGCGGCCCGCCCCCAGCCGCGACCCCGAACCGUGAAGGGAGCACUAACGCCGGAAAGUCAUUGGCUGCUGUCAGACCGGGUCUGGCCGAAGCCUGUGGGGAGGGCUGGGCCUGCGGGUAGGGGAGGGUGGACGUGCCCGGCUUCCGGCUCUUCCGCCUCUGGCCAGAGCAGCACGUGGGCGGCCCUUUGCCCUGACCCGUGGCGGAAAGGAAGCUAGCAGGAGCCCCUGUGCAGGCCUCCGGGCUGAAGGCCUUGUGGUGGAGGCAGAUGCCCUGGACAGUGCCUCCCCGAGCCCGUAACCAACUUCGCUGCUAGGUUUUUACGCAUCGGUUCUGUACUUGCCGUUCUGUGUUUCUCUCUCCACGAUUUCGGCACGCCAUAAAUGGCGGUUCCUAGGCCAAACCAGGGAGCCACUUGCUAUUUCUCCUUUCCUGGGGUGGCCCAGUCCAUUGGGCUCCAUGCCCUGUGAUGACACCACUGGCCGUGGGCAGUCACCCUUUCUGCCAGGCACAGGCAGCCCCUGCCCUGUUAUGCCUGCUUCCUACAGCACCCCUGGGAGUCCAGCACUGUCCACGUCCCGGUUCUGCAGAGCAGGGAGGGUUUCCGGGGUGAGGUGACCUGCCCGAGGUCCCUCCAGGUAAAGGACAGCACGAGGGUUCGGGCUCCGCAGGGGAGCCCAGAGCCCUGUACCUGCUGCCGGGUUCCCAGCACUUGGCCUGUCAAGUUGCUCAAGAGAAUGGCUGUCUGCCCUGUGGGCACCCUCUCCCUCCACCAGUCCUGUGGUGGCUGCCACUCAGGGACUGAUUCGCCCUGGAUAAAGCAGCCACAGAAGUGCAGGCAGGAAUGGGCAUCCCAGAUAAGAGCCAGACGGCCCACGCCUCCCCCGGCGCUCUGCCUCGGACCCCGGGGCCCGGGCGCUCAUGACGCCUAUGCUGACCGCCACCCGGACGCCGCCGCUGCGAGCCUGCGCCGCCGC
This 1160-nucleotide long non-coding RNA is filed under the name Sus scrofa (pig). RNAcentral's name for it is "lncRNA (ENSSSCG00070002979.1)". Lineage: Eukaryota; Metazoa; Chordata; Mammalia; Artiodactyla; Suidae. The record is from RNAcentral.